RNAcentral lists this unclassified non-coding RNA (407 nucleotides) under Chytridiomycota sp. RNAcentral describes it as "partial contains small subunit ribosomal RNA, internal transcribed spacer 1, and 5.8S ribosomal RNA". The stretch from base 1 to 47 matches the Rfam family "Eukaryotic small subunit ribosomal RNA", at positions 1785 to 1831 of the family's 1831-position model. Lineage: Eukaryota; Fungi; Chytridiomycota. The record is from RNAcentral.
AAAGUCGUAACAAGGUAACCGUAGGUGAACCUGCGGUUGGAUCAUUAAAAAAUAUUCAAUGGUGCCGCUGUUUGCAUAAGGCUUUCUUGGCUCUAAGGGACGCAAGUUAGGUCCUUGCUGGGAUUUGCUGCAAUCAGGGGCUUGUCGGGUCCGCCUCCACAACUAUCGACACGGUGGUUGGUUAGACCUGACAGUGAAUAACAGCAUCUCGCUGAAAAACCACACAUUUUGUGAACCGUUUCGUCUCUGGCAGGAGGGCAGCGUAAGCUGCUUGUCAGCACUGCAUUUUUGUAGUGCCGUGGACAGCCUGCCAAACACUUGCUUAACCUAUAUUUUUAUACUUGAUGUCUGACAUUUACUUGUAUUAAUAUACAAAACAACUUUUGGCAACGGAUCUCUUGGCUCUC